CGGAGAGUUUGAUCCCGGCUCAGGAUAAACGCUGGCGGUGUGCCUAAUGCAUGCAAGUCGAACGGUCCUUCGGGACAGUGGCGAACGGGUGAGUAACACGUAAGCAACCUGCCCCUAAGUGGGGGAUAACUUCGGGAAACCGGAGCUAAUACCGCAUGUGGUGGCCCUUCAACAGAAGGGUCAUUAAAGCCUUCGGGCGCUUGGGGAGGGGCUUGCGUCUGAUUAGCUUGUUGGUGAGGUAACGGCCCACCAAGGCAAUGAUCGGUAGCUGGUCUGAGAGGAUGGUCAGCCACACUGGGACUG
RNAcentral lists this ribosomal RNA (303 nucleotides) under Dehalococcoidia bacterium. RNAcentral describes it as "bacterial SSU rRNA". It matches the Rfam family "Bacterial small subunit ribosomal RNA", at positions 1 to 321 of the family's 1533-position model. The record is from RNAcentral. Lineage: Bacteria; Bacillati; Chloroflexota; Dehalococcoidia.